Pelobates cultripes (western spadefoot toad) is the source of this 226-nucleotide non-coding RNA. NCBI's taxonomy places the organism in Eukaryota, Metazoa, Chordata, Amphibia, Anura, Pelobatidae. The record is from the annotation of a GenBank genome assembly.
AAACAAACACAGAUACACCUUGAUACACACACUUUGAGACACAGAUGCACACUGUGUGUCAAGGUGCGUGUAUCUGUGUGCCAGUGUGUCAGAUACACACACACACACACACACACACACAAAUUGACACAUAUACACACACCGCCACAUACAAACAGAUACAUACUUUGACACACACCGCAAAAUUUUAAAAAAGGCGCAAUUUACAAAAAAACAUUUUUACCGG